Molecule: long non-coding RNA, 1626 nt
Organism: Saccostrea echinata
Lineage: Eukaryota; Metazoa; Mollusca; Bivalvia; Ostreida; Ostreidae
Exons: 3
Source: RefSeq, a predicted model, not a curated record
UGAAAAAGUGUAUUAUAGGCCUGACGCUGAACGAAUAGGCAAAGGAAAUUAUUCUCAUGAUACACAUGAUACAAGCAGUGAAGAAAAAAGUAUGUCAAGGUCUCCGUCAAAGAAGCGAGGCAAUCCAAUUUUCCGUCAUGACGUACUUCAAAAUACAAAGAAACAAAAUAGUUUGGACGUUAUAUUCAAGAGGUUGUUGAAACAAAAGGGAAGGAAACUCCUCCGAGAACUUCUGAUGUACAUUGAUGUUUCAAAAGCCAAUAUUUAUUCAAAAAACCCUCAAAGGAAACCCUGAAGUUAUCCUGACACGGAAUGAGGGAGGAAACCCUUUAAAAUCUAUUUUUUUAAAUUUUACUUUUAACUUUUAAACAAAAGGGCACAGAGACUUUGUACAUGUACGUGUACGAGGAUUGUUCGGAAAGUUCGUGGACUAGCGUCAUAAAAUUAAAACCGCUUAAGAUACAUCAAUGAAUUUUUCAACGUUUAAUUAGCAUCAUCUUAUUUGUUUAUAUAAUAAGCUAUACAUCAUUAGUUUUAUUUUUUAAUGAAUUGUUGAUGUUUUUGAAAGCAAUGGUAUGUCCAGGCGGCUCAACCUCGAAGAUUACGUUUUUUCUACCUAAGUAUAACUGAGAAAAAAAACCUCAUUUUUUGAUAUGAGCAUUUGUCAUUCAAAAAUCCCGUGAAUUCACUCAUGUGGAAUGACACAAUUGUACCGUAAUAUUUGCAAUUUUUACCCCAUUCUGUAAGUUCUAUGAAAUUUUAUCGUAAAAUUUAUAUGAAACGUCCAAACAAUUAUGGGGUUGUAAUGACGUCAGAAAGGGGGUGGGUUUCUUUUUCCAACAUUCUAUGAAGUUUCGCACUCAGGAAAAACUGGCAUAGACCUAGGAAAUAUUUAAAUGGGCUACUGAAAAAUGUUGAACUCAGACAAGCAAAUAUGCUGUAAUAAUCAAGUGAGGAUCUUUCAGAUCUAUUUACAAUAUUAUAUGCAUUGAAAGAAGCUGUUUAUGACAUUGUAAAAUCAUAUAAACAAGACGGGUUUAAAUCUUUACUUAACCCACGGAAACUUAUCAAGAUAAGUGUAUGAGGUUGAGAAUGCGGACAUUGAAAGACAAUGACGCCAUGAAACUAUAUGGCGACAGCGCCGGGUGAUCAUAUAAUGUCUUUUUUAUUUUAUGAUAAUUUGGUAAAUAUUCAAGGUAUCAAGCUAAAAUUUUCAACAUUUCUUUAACUUUUGUUGUUUUAUGUUCAUUACAAAUUUUGUAAGUAUAGACUACAUAGUAAUAAUUUUAUCGCAUCAGUCCACGAACUUUUCGAACAACCCUCGUAUAAGAUUUUAUUUUUUUAAUUUACAGUUUACUGGUACAACUUGUGGUAACUAACAAAUAAAUACAAAAGGGCCUCCAUUUAUUGAAAUGAAUUUGAACAAACAAAUGGCACACAUUAUGCAAAUUGUAGGCAUUAGUUCAUUUUCUCAUCAUUCGGAAAAAAUUAUAUUUGAAUUUCUUUUUUUACAAAAUUAUUUGUAUAAUUAUUUCACUUGCCAAUUUGAAUGGCAAGCUUUCAAAAUAUUUGACCAAUUUUGCUUAGUAUGUUUAUAUAAUUAUGUACUUUAUAGUUUACCCUUCA